Molecule: long non-coding RNA, 1851 nt
Filed under: Olea europaea subsp. europaea
Lineage: Eukaryota; Viridiplantae; Streptophyta; Magnoliopsida; Lamiales; Oleaceae
Source: RNAcentral
GUCACAAAAUAUGCGAUCAAAUGGUAUCAAACUUUUAUUAGGAAUUGAUUGAAAAGGUAACCGCGUAUGUUUUCCACGAGUACAUAUAUCACUAUGAUCAAUAUUGGGAGGACGAGAAAUAAAACGGGGAACAUUAUGUAAAGAGGGGUGACCCAAACAUUGAUGCCAAGUGUCAAAAGAGAUGGGUGGAUGCUUGGAGAGUGGUCGUUGGAGCAUGCUUGAAGUAGUAUAAUCUGUUAUGCUCAUCACCCAUGCCAAUCAGCAUCUUCGUGGUUAGGUCCUGAAAAGUGCAAAAAGUGGGAAAGAAAGAUACAACACAAUUAAGAGAUUUUGUUAAUUGGCUAACAAAUAAUAAAUUAAAUUUGAAAUCAGGAACUGAUAAAACAUUAGAAAGAUUUAAAUUAGGAGAGAAAGGAUAAUCACCAAUGGAAGAGAUAGUGGCAUGUGCACCUGUAGGUAAAUUUACAAAGGAGGGGCAACUAGCAUUUGUUACAUUUUUAAGGGGGGAAGAUGCAAUAUGGUGGGUUGCACCACUAUCUAUUACCCAAGGGGACGAGUUAGGGGAAAAAUGGGAAGAAUUGGGAAAAAAAUUGGAAGGGCCGAGAGACAAACUUGCGAAGGCCAUGACUGGUGGUUUUAAGAGUUCCAUUAAUUGGUUGUAUUGUUCGGUAGAGAGACCAUGGGCGACACUUGUGGUUGGGGUCUGGUCGACAGCGACUUGGUGCACCGCUGGAGAAGAAAAACGAGCAACCCGAGGCUAACUUCAUGGUGGAGGUUUGUUCUUUGAAGGCCACCAAUCUGGGUAUCCUAAAAUCUCGAAACAUUUGUCACGUGUGUGACUCGGCCUACCACAUUCUUCACAAUUGGGCGUCCCAGUCUGCCAGACGCGAUGAGGACGGGAGGUGGCUCGCUGCUGUAAGCAAGCAAGGAAAGUGGAAAUCUCUGGCUGAGAGGUGGUCGAUUGGACCAGUCAUUGUGUCUCUUCUUGAUGUAGAAUGGCGUAACAACAGCCAAUUGAUGGGAGUGGUUCCGUAGCCAGAAUUUGUGACCGGAGUUGCUGGAAGCUACCAUUUAGACCCAUGAGGAAUUGGUAGAUUCGGUCAAAUUCCUGGGUCUCAGAGAGUGAUUUAGAUGCACCGCAAGUGCACGAAACUGUGGGUUGUAGAGAAGCUAAUUCAUCCCAUAAUUCCUUCAACCGUCCAUAGUAAGUAGUGAUUGAUUGUUUUUCUUGAUGGAGGUUUGCUAAAUCUCGUUUCAAGCAAAAUAUUUUGGUGCGGUUACUUUGAUAGAAAUGGGUUUCUAGUUCAACCCAUAAAUCGUUUGUUGUGUCGCAAUAUAGGAAGCUACCUGUGAGGGAUCUAUCGAUAGAAUGGAAGAGCGAAGACAUUAUCAUGUCACAGCAUCUGUCCCAAAGAAGAGCAGCAACAGCGUCAUCGGUUGGUCGUUUGAUAGUGCUAAGAACGAAACCCAGUUUGUUCUUGGCGUUCAGUGCACGAGUUAUUGCUCAGCGCCAAGCAGGGUAGUUAUCCCCAUUGAGAGGCACAUCGACGAGAAAUUGAUUGGGUUGGUCAAAUGACUGUAAGUAGUAUGGGGAGGUAGCAUCGGUGAGGGAUUUCAAAGCAUCAGGGGCGGCCGCAUGUGUGGUUGAAUCUGCCAUGGUAAAGGUAUGGAUUGUUCAAACCUUCGGCUCUGAUACCAUGUUAGAAUUUGGUAGAAUAUAAUUUACGAAUGAAGAAUUCCUUCUCAUUGAUUAAAUGAAUACGUUACAACUCUUCUUAUAAUGAAAGAAAACGUGUGUGUAUCUAAUGUAGGAAAGAAAAUAUUAUGUAAUAAAACAAUGCAAUUGAUAAG